RNAcentral lists this long non-coding RNA (510 nucleotides) under Oryza brachyantha (malo sina). RNAcentral's name for it is "long non-coding RNA (OBRA_LNC001651)". Lineage: Eukaryota; Viridiplantae; Streptophyta; Magnoliopsida; Poales; Poaceae. The record is from RNAcentral.
UGAUAACUGAUAACUCUUGAUGAUGGUGGGCUGGUUGCGGCUGCCGGAAAGAUGGGAAAUAAAUAUUUGUUGCCACAUCUAGCGGGAAAUUUUACUCGAGCAAGGUCAUAUCUUUAUCUAGGGACAUUUAUUUUUUUUUUUGCCAUUUUUAACAAAAUUUAUGAUCUGAACUGCCUCGUGGACUCGUGCAGGAGAUGGCAAGGUUUCUCAUCCUAGACAUGCCCAGAACACUUUAGCCAGCCGUGCUGCACAAACGUGACCAUGUCAUGCUGCUACCUCGUCAUCGGCUGCUCCAUUGCCGUGGCGUGCGCUCUGCUCUGCCCCUAUUAUCUUCACUUCAGUGGAGCCGUACCAACCUGAGCAUGCCAACUCCAAUAAGCCCAUGGCUCAGGAUGAUGCAAAGUCCUCUUCAACAACUGCCAUGGAUAGAGUGACCAUACAGAAGAGAUCCCUCGUGUCUCACGCUGUUGUGUUUCCCAAUGCCUCUCAACCCAGGCCAUGCCUGCUAUU